Molecule: ribosomal RNA, 390 nt
Filed under: Triticum aestivum (bread wheat)
Lineage: Eukaryota; Viridiplantae; Streptophyta; Magnoliopsida; Poales; Poaceae
Description: partial small subunit ribosomal RNA
Source: RNAcentral
AUGAAAAAGGGGAAAAAAGAGAUAGGAGUAACAGUAGCGUGUAUCCCAGAACACGUUGUAGCUAACGUAGCAGCAACGCUUUUCCCAGAACGUGCUACUGCUACUUCUGACUUAACCAUGGGGUUCGUCUUUCCCCAUGCAGCCACUUCCCCCAAAUCCAACUCUCUCCACUCUCGCCGCCGCCGUCGCCCGUCGGCCGCCGCGCGCUCUCCGCACACCCUCUACGCCGCCCCGAACCCAGAUUCAACGCCGCCCCCGCCCCCGACCUCAACACUGCCCCGGACGCCGCCCCCUACCCCGACCUCGACGCCGCCAUCCGCCGCGCGCCCGAGCCCCGACCCUGACCUCGACGCCGCCCUGCCCCUCCCUCGUUGUAGGCACCCAAGGUGA